Molecule: non-coding RNA, 59 nt
Organism: Larimichthys crocea (large yellow croaker)
Lineage: Eukaryota; Metazoa; Chordata; Actinopteri; Sciaenidae
Source: Rfam
CUUUUUAUAUGAUGAUUACAGUGCAAACCUCUGGUAGCUGUAAUCUGAAGACUUAAAAG